CUAAAAUUCUAGCCAAUUAACCCUAACUACCAAAAAACAAAACAAACCAUUUAAUUUAAUAGUAUGGGCGAUAGAAAUUUAUUAUGUGCAAUAAAAAAAGUACCGCAAGGGAAAGAUGAAAUAAAAAUGAAAUAAAUAAUAAAAACAAAGAAAAGAAAAGACUAAACCCUGUACCUUUUGCAUAAUGGUCUAGUAAGUCCAACCUAACAAAAAGAAAUAAAGUCAGCCGCCCCGAAACUAGACGAGCUACUCAAAAGCAGCAUUAACCAGAGCCAACCCGUCUCUGUGGCAAAAGAGUGGGAAGACUUUUAAGUAGAGGUGAAAAGCCUAACGAGCCUAGUGAUAGCUGGUUGCUUGAGAAAUGAAUAUUAGUUCAGCUUAAAGUACCUUUAAUUAAUAAAAAAUAAAAGUAGCACUUUAAAGUUAAUUAAUAGGGGUACAGCCCUAUUAAUAAAGGACACAACCUACAUAAUGAAUAAAGAUCAUAUUAAUAAAAGAAAUUAACCAUGUAGGCCUAAAAGCAGCCACCAUAAGAAAGCGUCAAAGCUCAACUUAACAAACCCCUUAUUAUACUAAUAAAAAAAUCUAAAUUCACAAAUAUAUCAAGCCUAUCUACUAGUAGAUGAGUUUAUACUAGAAUGAGUAACAAGAACAAAUUCUCUAUAUGCAAGCGUAAAUCAGAACGAAAAUAUCACUGAUAAUUAACAAUUUUAAAUACUAAACAACAAGAAAAUACAUUAAAACAAUUGUUAACCCAACACAGGAGCAUCAAAAAAGAUUUAAAGAUUAAAAAGGAACUCGGCAACCAAGAGCUCCGCCUGUUUACCAAAAACAUCGCCUCUUGCCCUCCAAGUAUAAGAGGUCCCGCCUGCCCAGUGAUUAAUUUUAACGGCCGCGGUAUAAUGACCGUGCAAAGGUAGCGUAAUCACUUGUCUUUUAAAUAAAGACCUGUAUGAAAGGCAAAACGAAAGCUCAACUGUCUCUUUAAUCUAAUCAGUGAAAUUAAUCUCUCCGUGCAGAAGCGAA
RNAcentral lists this ribosomal RNA (1026 nucleotides) under Paramesotriton chinensis (Chinese warty newt). RNAcentral describes it as "partial 16S ribosomal RNA". The stretch from base 159 to 1004 matches the Rfam family "Bacterial large subunit ribosomal RNA", at positions 573 to 2043 of the family's 2925-position model. The record is from RNAcentral. Lineage: Eukaryota; Metazoa; Chordata; Amphibia; Caudata; Salamandridae.